Molecule: long non-coding RNA, 1653 nt
Filed under: Betta splendens (Siamese fighting fish)
Lineage: Eukaryota; Metazoa; Chordata; Actinopteri; Anabantiformes; Osphronemidae
Description: lncRNA (ENSBSLG00000009616.1)
Source: RNAcentral
ACCUCCUCCUGGAGGUGCGCAGGAACUGCGGCUGGCGCAACCUCCUCCUGGAGGUGCGCAGGAACUGCGGCUGGCGCAACCUCCUCCUGGAGGUGCGCAGGAACUGCGACUGGCGCAACCUCCUCCUGGAGGUGCGCAGGAACUGCGACUGGCGCAACCUCCUCCUGGAGGUGCGCAGGAACUGCGACUGGCGCAACCUCCUCCUGGAGGUGCGCAGGAACUGCGACUGGCGCAACCUCCUCCUGGAGGUGCGCAGGAACUGCGACUAGCGCGACCUCCUCCUGGAGGUGCGCAGGAACUGCGACUAGCGCGACCUCCUCCUGGAGGUGCGCAGGAACUGCGGCUGGCGCGACCUCCUCCUGGAGGUGCGCAGGAGCUGUAGCUGGCGCGACCUCCUCCUGGAGGUGCGCAGGAACUGCGACUAGCGCGACCUCCUCCUGGAGGUGCGCAGGAACUGCGACUAGCGCGACCUCCUCCUGGGGGUGCGCAGGAACUGCGGCUAGCGCGACCUCCUCCUGGAGGUGCGCAGGAACUGCGACUGGCGCGACCUCCUCCUGGAGGUGCGCAGGAACUGCAGGUGCUGCCUCCUCCUGGAGGCCGGCGGGCGCUGCGGCUCCAAGGGUGACGGGGACUGGAACGACCGCUACAGGGCCGACGGGAACGGGGAAUGGAACGACUGCUACAGGGCCGACAGGAACGGGGUCAGAGACAGGGGUGACCUCUACUUGGCCUACGGGAACGCCCUCUACUUGGCCUACGGGAACGCCCUCUACUUGGCCUACGGGAACGCCCUCUACUUGGCCUACGGGAACGCCCUCUACUUGGCCUACGGGAACGCCCUCUACUUGGCCUACGGGAACGCCCUCUACUUGGCCUACGGGAACGCCCUCUACUUGGUCGACAGGGACAGGAGCUGGAACGACCUCAACUUGGUCGACAGGGACAGGAACUGGAACGACCUCAACUUGGUCGACAGGGACAGGAACUGGAACGACCUCAACUUGGUCGACAGGGACAGGAACUGGAACGACCUCAACAUGGUCGACAGGGACAGGAACUGGAACGACCUCAACAUGGCCGACAGGAACAGGAACUGGAACGACCUCAACUUGGUCGACAGGGACAGGAACUGGAACGACCUCAACAUGGCCGACAGGAACAGGAACUGGAACGACCUCAACUUGGUCGACAGGGACAGGAACUGGAACGACCUCAACAUGGCCGACAGGAACAGGAACUGGAACGACCUCAACUUGGUCGACAAGAACUGGAACGACCUCAACAUGGCCGACAGGAACUGGAACGACCUCAACAUGGCCGACAGGAACUGGAACGACCGCAACAUGGCCGGCAGGAACUGGAACGACCUCAACAUGGCCGACAGGAACUGGAACGGCCUCUGCUUGGCCGACAGGAACUAGAACGGCGUCCUCCUCUGAGGAGCCGACAGGAACUGGAACUAGAACGGCCUCAAUAUGGCCGACGGGAACAGGAACGGAGUCCUCCUCUGAGGAGCCGACAGGAACUAGAACGGCGUCCUCCUCUGAGGAGCCGACAGGAACUAGAACGGCCGCAACAUGGCCGACAGGGACUGGAACGGCCGCAACAUGGCCGACAGGGACUGGAACGGCGUCCCCUCCGGAGCUGGCAUGA